This 494-nucleotide ribosomal RNA is filed under the name uncultured bacterium. RNAcentral describes it as "partial 16S ribosomal RNA". It matches the Rfam family "Bacterial small subunit ribosomal RNA", at positions 28 to 507 of the family's 1533-position model. The record is from RNAcentral.
GACGAACGCUGGCGGCGCGCUUAACACAUGCAAGUCGAACGGAGAGGCCUGCUUUCCCUUGUGGAUUGCGGGUACUCGAGUGGCGAACGGGUGAGUAACACGUGAGUGAUCUGCCCCCAACUUGGGUAUAAGCCUGGGAAACUGGGUCUAAUUCCCGAUAGGACUGCAGGGUGGUGCCUGUGGUGGAAAACGAUUUUCUAGUGGUUGGGGAUGAGCUCGCGGCCUAUCAGCUUGUUGGUGGGGUAAUGGCCUACCAAGGCGGCGACGGGUAGCCGGCCUGAGAGGGUGGACGGCCACAUUGGGACUGAGAUACGGCCCAGACUCCUACGGGAGGCAGCAGUGGGGAAUAUUACACAAUGGGCGGAAGCCUGAUGCAGCGACGCCGCGUGGGGGAUGACGGCCUUCGGGUUGUAAACUCCUUUCGACCGCGAGGAAGCCACCUGGUUGGAAGGGUGGUGACGGUAGUGGUAGAAGAAGCACCGGCUAACUACGUG